UCCAAAGUGUCUGCAGCCAGUGUAGGAGUGACUUCCCACAAAGUGUUAAGCGACAGUGAGACGCUGGCGGUUUUCCAGGGCACUGAGGCCGUGGGCAGGCUGGCUGGCCCCACCAGGGGAAGUGUUUGCAGUCCUGGUCGAUGGGCACACAAGCCUGAAAAUGUUUCUCCUGUGUGCUGGUGCAGUCCGGCUAUUUUUGAAGAAUGCUUGCUCUUGUUAAACAAAGCCUGAGCCCUGUUGGGAUGAGGCUGUUUUGAGCUGAGGCAGAGCUAGAAAGACAAGGGUGAAACACUGUGGAGAACCCUCAUGGAUCCUCUAAUCUGUGCAUGAUCUUGGAGGCCACACUUACACUGACUGCCACCCCCACACUGCUGGGCACCUGUGGCUCAAACGUUUCUCACCGUCUGCCACCUGCAUCCCUCGGUCUCGCCCUUGACACUGCAGGGAGGAGCUGAACCCCUGUGCUGUGAGCACUCUUCAGAUGGAUGAGGAUGUAGCAGCAGCCUCCCCCAGGCUUCUCAUCACCUCUGCCCUUGUCGCACACUCCUGUUAAGCCCAUAUCAAAUCAUUCCAUGCAUAAAACAAGUUGCCAAGGAGAGAGACUUACUGCUAUUUUUUUUUUUUAAAAAAGACCCGAACCCUUCUGUUUUUGUCAAAGUACACAAUGGAGUAGAAAUUUUGGAAAAUAGAGGAAAUAGCUUUAAAAAUAAUCACAUAUAAUCUCCCAGGCCAGAGAAAACUACUGAGAAUGUUUCACGGUACAUCUCCGUUUCUUCCAGUGCAUAGAAUUAGCUUCUACAUGGUGUUAAUAGUAUUGUAUUGUACUUAUUGCUUUAUAAUAUCCUUUUAUAUUUUAGAACAUCCUAGACUUUUUCACAAUUUAUUAAGUAUUCUCUAUGACAUUGGUUUCGUGGCUUUAAGCAUUUCUGCUGGAAGAGCCCUUGAUCACUCUCCAUUUCUUUCCUUUUCAAAUUUUCUUUCACGGCAUGCAUUGCCAUCUGCCAUUUUACGAUGUAUUUAGUGAUUUCUUGUCUGUGUCCUCAGCUAAAAUAGAAGCUUCAGCAGGAUAGGGUCUUUGCUGGUUUUGUCCACUGUUAUAUUAAAAGAACACAGAAUAAUAAGUGACACAUGGCAGACGGUCCACAAAUAUUUGUUGGAUACAUGAGUGGCUUUAAGCAGUCAUCCACUGAUGGACACUUGAAGUGACUAUGCAAUACACUACAUUGUAUGUAAAUCUUUUUGCUGUUAAAGCAAAUCUUCAGUGUGACCUUUCCAGGUCAAAAAGUAUGGAUUUUAG
Molecule: long non-coding RNA, 1297 nt
Filed under: Homo sapiens (human)
Lineage: Eukaryota; Metazoa; Chordata; Mammalia; Primates; Hominidae
Description: HSALNT0299876
Source: RNAcentral